AAGUCGAACGGAAAGGCCUCUUCGGAGGUACUCGAGUGGCGAACGGGUGAGUAACACGUGGGUGAUCUGCCCUGCACUCUGGGAUAAGCCUGGGAAACUGGGUCUAAUACCGGAUAGGACCAUGCUUUAGUGUGUGUGGUGGAAAGUUUUUUCGGUGUAGGAUGAGCCCGCGGCCUAUCAGCUUGUUGGUGGGGUAAUGGCCUACCAAGGCGGCGACGGGUAGCCGGACUGAGAGGUUGGUCGGCCACAUUGGGACUGAGAUACGGCCCAGACUCCUACGGGAGGCAGCAGUGGGGAAUAUUGCACAAUGGGCGCAAGCCUGAUGCAGCGACGCCGCGUGGGGGAUGACGGCCUUCGGGUUGUAAACUCCUUUCGCCAGGGACGAAGCGUUUUGUGACGGUACCUGGAGAAGAAGCACCGGCUAACUACGUGCCAGCAGCCGCGGUAAUACGUAGGGUGCAAGCGUUGUCCGGAAUUACUGGGCGUAAAGAGCUCGUAGGUGGUUUGUCACGUCGUCUGUGAAAUUCCACAGCUUAACUGUGGGCGUGCAGGCGAUACGGGCUGACUUGAGCACUGUAGGGGUAACUGGAAUUCCUGGUGUAGCGGUGAAAUGCGCAGAUAUCAGGAGGAGCACCGAUGGCGAAGGCAGGUUACUGGGCAGUUACUGAC
RNAcentral lists this ribosomal RNA (669 nucleotides) under uncultured Actinomycetales bacterium. RNAcentral's name for it is "bacterial SSU rRNA". It matches the Rfam family "Bacterial small subunit ribosomal RNA", at positions 59 to 744 of the family's 1533-position model. Lineage: Bacteria; Bacillati; Actinomycetota; Actinomycetes; Actinomycetales. The record is from RNAcentral.